CAAAAGCCUGGUCCUGACUUUAACAUCAGUUGUAGCCCAAUUUACACAUGCAAGUCCCCGCCCCCCUGUGAGAAUGCCCUUUACCUCCGAGAGGAAAAAAGGAGCGGGCAUCAGGCACACAAUUGUAGCCCAAAACGCCUUGCUUAGCCACACCCCCAAGGGAACUCAGCAGUGAUAGACAUUAAGCAAUAAGCGAAAGCUCGACUUAGUUAGGGUUAAGAGGGCCGGUAAAACUCGUGCCAGCCACCGCGGUUAUACGAGAGGCCCAAAUUGAUGCAAUACGGCGUAGAGUGUGAUUAGAGACAAAAACAAACUAAAGCCAAACACCCCCUAUACUGUCAUACGCCAUGGGGAGUAAGAAGCCCAACAACGAAAGUGGCUUUAAACAUCUUGAACUCACGACAGCUAAGGCACAAACUGGGAUUAGAUACCCCACUAUGCUUAGCCUUAAACCAAGGCGAUAGACCUACAAACCUCGCCCGCCAGGGGACUACGAGCAAUAGCUUAAAACCCAAAGGACUUGGCGGUGCCUCAAACCCACCUAGAGGAGCCUGUCCUAUAACCGAUAAUCCCCGUUAAACCUCACCCCUCCUUGUCAAUUCCGCCUAUAUACCGCCGUCGCCAGUUUACCUUAUGAAAGAACAGCAGUAAGCAAAACGGGCAACACCCCACACGUCAGGUCGAGGUGUAGCGAAUGGAGGGGGAAGAGAUGGGCUACAUUUUCUGGUGCAGAAUACCACGAAAAGUGCAAUGAAAUGUGCAUAAAUGAAGGUGGAUUUAGCAGUAAAAGGGAAAAAGAGAGUCCCUUUGAAACCGGCUCUGAGGCGCGUACACACCGCCCGUCACUCUCCUCGAACAAUAACCAACAAUACAUAAAACCUAGAAAAAAAGAGAGGAGGCAAGUCGUAACAUGGUAAGUGUACCGGAAGGUGCGCUUGGAAUAAUU
RNAcentral lists this non-coding RNA (946 nucleotides) under Echidna xanthospilos. RNAcentral describes it as "12S ribosomal RNA". It matches the Rfam family "Bacterial small subunit ribosomal RNA". The record is from RNAcentral. Lineage: Eukaryota; Metazoa; Chordata; Actinopteri; Anguilliformes; Muraenidae.